UACGUAGGCAGCAAGCGUUGCUCGGAAUUACUGGGUGUAAAGGGUUCGUAGGCGGUGUGGCAAGUCGGGAGUGAAAUCUCUGGGCUUAACCCAGAGGCUGCUUCCAAAACUGCUGUGCUUGAGUGUGGGAGAGGUGCGUGGAAUUGCAGGUGUAGCGGUGAAAUGCGUAGAUAUCUGCAGGAACACCCGUGGCGAAAGCGGCGCACUGGACCACAACUGACGCUGAGGAACGAAAGCUAGGGGAGCAAACAGG
RNAcentral lists this ribosomal RNA (253 nucleotides) under uncultured bacterium. RNAcentral's name for it is "partial 16S ribosomal RNA". It matches the Rfam family "Bacterial small subunit ribosomal RNA", at positions 524 to 776 of the family's 1533-position model. The record is from RNAcentral.